This 1133-nucleotide long non-coding RNA is filed under the name Callithrix jacchus (white-tufted-ear marmoset). RNAcentral's name for it is "lncRNA (ENSCJAG00000070789.1)". Lineage: Eukaryota; Metazoa; Chordata; Mammalia; Primates; Cebidae. The record is from RNAcentral.
GUUUGAAGAUAGGCUUCAUGAAGAUGCUAUGCAGUUGGCUUGCUUCUGAGACAUUUGAACAGCCAGCAUCUUACAAUCUCCCAGAAUUUCUGAAGUAGAACAUACUUGUUUAACAUUGUCUUAUUUUUAGAUAAUCAAUUUUAGGUCAGGCAUGGAGGCUUAUGCCUGUAAUCCCAGCACUUUGGGAGGCUGAGGCAGGCAGGUCACUUGAGGUCAGGAGUUUGAGACCAACCUGGCCAACAUGGUAAAACCCCAUCUCUACUAAAAAUACAAAAAUUAUCCAGGAGUGCUGGUGUGCAUCCGUAAUCCCAGCUACUGGGGAGGCUGAGGCAUGAGAAUAGCAUAAACCUGAGAGGCAGAGGUUGCCGUGAGCUGAGAUGGUGCCACUGCACUCCAGCCUGGGCAACAGAGCGAGACCCUGUUUCCAAAAAUAAAGAAAGAGGUAUCAUACGGACACAGUGAAAAAUGCAAGCAUAAUAAGAAUUAGUGAAUCUGGGCCAGGUGUGGUGGCUCACGCCUGUAAUCCCAGCACUUUGAGAGGCUGAGAUGAGCAGAUCAAAAGAUCAGGAGUUCAAGACCAGGCUGGCCAAUAUGGGGAAACCCCGUCUUUACUAAAAAUACUUUAGCCAGGCAUCGUGGUGGGCACCUGUAGUCCCAACUACUCGGGAGGCUGAGGCAGGAGAAUCGCUUGAACCCAGGAGGUGGAGGUUGCGGUGAGCCGAGAUCACGCCAUUGCACUCCAGCCUGGGUAACAAGAGCAAAACUCCAUCUUAAAAAAAAAAAGACUAAUAGCAUAAUCAUAAGACUGGGCAUGGUGGCUCAUGCCUUAAAUCCCAGCACUUUGGGAGGCCAAGGCAGGAGGAUCAACCACUUGAAAUCAGGAGUUUGAGAUCAGACUGGACAACAUAACAAGACCCUGUCUCUAUUUAAUAAAGAAAUAAGACUAAAAAAGAAUAAGGAAGCUUUCUGUAUAUACUAUUAUGGAAGGAAGUCUAAUAUAAUUGCAAAAACAAGUUGUUAAACUUAUAUAUACCGUAUUUUUAAAAUAAUACGUUUUAAUCAUGUCUUGACCCAUCCACUUCUCUUUGGGGCUUCCUUCUAAGGAAGCUUAAUACAUAAAAACAGUGACAAAG